CAGGCACUCAGUCAGAGGUUGGCUCUCCGUUUCGCUGCAGGGUCCCUUCAUUCUUCACAUAUCCGUGUCGAGCCGAGUGUAAAUCCCGACGCUGAACGGCCUUUGUACAAGCACACACGCUUCGUAGCAGGGAGAAGCUAUGAGCUAGAAAAAUCCAGCCUGGCAGACAGCCUGUGUCUGACCAACCAAUCAGAGAGCUCCUUACAUCCCACGGUGUGGCUAAUUUGAAUAGCCUCCAGCAAGUUGUUAAUCGAAGAGCUAAUCCAGCAGCUAAUCCAGGAGCUAAUCCAGCAGCUAAUCCCGGAGCGAACAGGAAAGGGAAAUGGAUUUUGAACUGCAGUUUAUUAAAUUGCAAGUGGAAAAAGGAUUUUGAACUGCAGUUUAUUAAAUUGCAGGUGGAAAAGGAUUUUGAACUGCAGUUUAUUAAAUUGCAGGUGGAAAAAGGAUUUUGAACUGCAGUUUAUUAAAUUGCAAGUGGAAAAAGGAUUUUGAACUGCAGUUUAUUAAAGUGCAACUGAAAAAAGGAUUUUAAAAUGCAGUUUAUUAAAGUGCAAUUGGAAAAAGGAUUUUGAAAUGCAAUUGGAAAAAGGAUUUUGAAAUGCAGUUUAUUAAAUUGGAAUUCAAAAAUGAAUUUACAAUUGCAGAAUUUAUUCUACAAUUCAUUAUUAAAGCACAGAGAUUUUUAUUUCAAUGCGCGUGGCUCUUGUGGUCCUCC
Molecule: long non-coding RNA, 715 nt
Organism: Oreochromis aureus
Lineage: Eukaryota; Metazoa; Chordata; Actinopteri; Cichliformes; Cichlidae
Source: Ensembl